GACGAACGCUGGCGGCGUGCUUAACACAUGCAAGUCGAACGGUAAGGCCCUUCGGGGUACACGAGUGGCGAACGGGUGAGUAACACGUGGGUGAUCUGCCCUGCACUUCGGGAUAAGCCUGGGAAACUGGGUCUAAUACCGGAUAGGACCACUGCCUGCAUGGGUGGUGGUGGAAAGCUUUUGCGGUGUGGGAUGGGCCCGCGGCCUAUCAGCUUGUUGGUGGGGGGAUGGCCUACCAAGGCGACGACGGGUAGCCGGCCUGAGAGGGUGACCGGCCACACUGGGACUGCAGUACGGCCCAGACUCCUACGGGAGGCAGCAGUGGGGAAUAUUGCACAAUGGGGGCGAGCCUGAUGCAGCGACGCCGCGUGAGGGAUGACGGCCUUCGGGUUGUAAACCUCUUUCAGCACCGACGAAGCGCAAGUGACGGUAGGUGCAGAAGAAGGACCGGCCAACUACGUGCCAGCCGCCGCCGUAA
Molecule: ribosomal RNA, 478 nt
Filed under: uncultured bacterium
Lineage: Bacteria
Description: partial 16S ribosomal RNA
Rfam family: Bacterial small subunit ribosomal RNA
Source: RNAcentral